Molecule: long non-coding RNA, 1200 nt
Filed under: Fukomys damarensis (Damara mole-rat)
Lineage: Eukaryota; Metazoa; Chordata; Mammalia; Rodentia; Bathyergidae
Description: lncRNA (ENSFDAG00000026214.1)
Source: RNAcentral
UGAAUCUCUUCAUCUCCUCAGAUACUGAGGUAAGUCUCCUGUCUUCCUACAGGACACAGCCAAGAAUCUAUUCUUCAGCUCAGAUACCACGUUAAAGCUGCUUAUGUCUUCCUACAGGAAAGGGCCAUGCAUUUGCCCGUCUCCAGGGAUACUAAGGACUGAACCAUGCAUCUGUUCAUCUCAUGGACACUAAGACAAGUUUCCUGACGUCUUCCUACAGCAUAGAGCUAUGCAUCUAUUAAUCUGCCUCGGUGUACUGCUUUAAUUCUUACGUCUUCCCACAGAACACGGCCAUGUAUCUGUUGUUCAUCUCCUCAUGUAUUAAGGUUAGUCCACUGAUGCCUUCCUGCAGGACAGAGCCAUGAUUCUGUUAAUUUACCAGGAACUAAGGGAAGGUAUCCUUGUAUGUUACUGAUAUCCAUGCAUUUCUUCAUCUGCUUGGGUACCAUGAACAUCUUCUGUCUACCUAUAGGACACAGCCAGGAAUCUAUUCAUCCACUAGGAUACCAAGAUAAGGUUGCUUUUGAGGUUGUUCAUCUGCAGGGAUACUAAUGUAAGGCUGCGGAUUCCCCACACCGUGAAACUCAGGACCUCGUGCUUGUGAGGAAGGCAAAGCGACACUGAGCUACCUCCCACCCGCUGAUGUCUUCCUACAAGACAGGGCCAUGUUUUCAGAUGCUAAGGUAAGGCUCAUUCUGUCUUCACAGAGGACAUGGCCAUCCAUUUGUUCAACUCCUCAUAUACUCAGGUAAAUCUGCUGAUGCCUUCCUGCAGGACAGGGCCAUGCUUUUGUUCAUGUGCUGGGAUACUAAGGUAAGUCUGCUUCUGCUUUCCUUCAGGACAGAGCUGUGCUUCUGUUCAUUUGUUGGUAAUUGUCCUUCUGUUUUCCUACAGGACAGAGCCAGACAUCUAUUCAACAGCUCAGAUACUAAGGUAAGGCUGCUGAUGUCUUCCUACAGGACAGGGCCAUGCAACUUUUUAUCUCAUGGACACAAAGACAAGUCUCAACGUCUUCAUACAGGAGAGAGCCAUGUAUCUGUUCAUCUGCCUAGGACACAGCCCGGAAUGUAUUCAUCAGCUCAGAUACUAACUAAGGUAGGGAUGCUGAUGUCUUCCUACAGGACAGAGGCAUGCAUACGUUUUCCUGCACAGAUUCUAAGGACAGAUCCAUGCAUGUCUUCAUCUGCUUGGGUAUCAUGA